UUUCUUCUUUAUUUUUCUUUCCUAUUCUUUCUCUUUUUAGUUUUAUUUUUGUUUAAUUUUUCAUCUAGUACAGUGCUACUAAGGUAUUUUCCAUUUUGUUUGUAUGCAAGGUCCAGACAAUCAUGCAAGAUGACAUUUAUGCUACCUUGGCAAAGUUUGAAGCUUAUUCAAAGGAACUUUCAUAAAAAAUACUAAUUGAACAAAAUGCGAGAAAUUAUUCAGAGCCAG
This 228-nucleotide long non-coding RNA is filed under the name Lathyrus oleraceus (garden pea). RNAcentral's name for it is "Pisum sativum (pea) long non-coding RNA (PSAT_LNC013552)". Lineage: Eukaryota; Viridiplantae; Streptophyta; Magnoliopsida; Fabales; Fabaceae. The record is from RNAcentral.